RNAcentral lists this small RNA (84 nucleotides) under Arabidopsis thaliana (thale cress). Its description in RNAcentral is "ATSL112050". The record is from RNAcentral. Lineage: Eukaryota; Viridiplantae; Streptophyta; Magnoliopsida; Brassicales; Brassicaceae.
CUGCAGCUGCAGCCUGUUCUUCGUUCGCCGGUUGGAGAGUGCACACCAGAUUACGGUCUCCAUACACGUUGUCCACUCGCCCUG